AGGUUUGGACCGGUGCACCAGAUUAUAUAAGAUUUCUAUUGCACUUGUCCCGGCCUUC
This 58-nucleotide microRNA precursor is filed under the name Ciona intestinalis (vase tunicate). Its description in RNAcentral is "Cin-Mir-92-o69_pre stem-loop". Lineage: Eukaryota; Metazoa; Chordata; Ascidiacea; Phlebobranchia; Cionidae. The record is from RNAcentral.